CGGUGACUGGAGUCCCGGGAAGAGUUCUCUUUUCUUGUUAACAGUUCCGCAGGCCCUGGAAUCGGAUUAUCCGGCGAUAGGGUCUGGUGGCUGGGAAAGCAGCUUAAUCUUUGAGCUGUCCGGUGCUCUCCAGACGGCCCUUGAAAAUCCGGUGGCGUGACUUAUUUACACCCCAGGUCGUACUCAUAACCGCAUCAGGUCUCCAAGGUGAGUAGCCUCUAGUCGAUAGAGUAAUGUGGAUAAGGGAAGUCGGCAAAAUAGAUCCGUAACCUCGGGAAAAGGAUUGGCUCUGAGGGUUGGGCCUAGGGGUCUUGGGAACGAAGGAGUAACCUGUGGGCUGUGGCUGCGUAUCUUCACGGAAGCGCGGCUUGGCACGCUGGCCUCUAGAGGGCCCGAGGACGCCUUGUACUUGUACUUGGCUUUCCCUAGUGCGUGGAACAACCAACUCAGAACUGGAGCGGACAAGGGGAAUCCGACUG
RNAcentral lists this ribosomal RNA (479 nucleotides) under Alexandrium monilatum. Its description in RNAcentral is "partial Eukaryotic large subunit ribosomal RNA". It matches the Rfam family "Eukaryotic large subunit ribosomal RNA", at positions 1666 to 2140 of the family's 3401-position model. The record is from RNAcentral. Lineage: Eukaryota; Dinophyceae; Gonyaulacales; Pyrocystaceae.